UUGGUCGUCGUGGAUAAGUUCUCCAAAUACAGCCAUUUCCUACCAUUGUCGCAUCCAUUCUCUGCUUCCCAAGUGGCAACUACUUAUGUGGAUCAAGUUUACAGACUGCAUGGACUACCAGAUUCUAUUCUAUCCGACCGAGAUACAAUCUUUACAAGCAGAUUCUGGCAAGAGCUCUUUCGGCAAACCCAAACAACCCUUCGGAUGAGCACACCAUAUCACCCGGCCACGGAUGGGCAAACUGAGCGUACAAACCAAUGCCUCGAGACUUUCCUCAGAUGUUUUGUGCAUUCUUGUCCAAAGAAAUGGAGUUCAUGGCUUCCUCUUGCUGAAUUCUGGUUUAACACCAGCUGG
This 354-nucleotide ribosomal RNA is filed under the name Triticum aestivum (bread wheat). RNAcentral describes it as "partial small subunit ribosomal RNA". The record is from RNAcentral. Lineage: Eukaryota; Viridiplantae; Streptophyta; Magnoliopsida; Poales; Poaceae.